GUAAAAUAAAAUGGUGCUCUAAGUAAGUAUGAGAGAUUUCAGCACAUGUUGAAUUCAGUCUUUCAAGCUUCU
Molecule: non-coding RNA, 72 nt
Organism: Pangasianodon gigas (Mekong giant catfish)
Lineage: Eukaryota; Metazoa; Chordata; Actinopteri; Siluriformes; Pangasiidae
Source: the annotation of a GenBank genome assembly